This 253-nucleotide ribosomal RNA is filed under the name uncultured bacterium. RNAcentral describes it as "partial 16S ribosomal RNA". It matches the Rfam family "Bacterial small subunit ribosomal RNA", at positions 524 to 776 of the family's 1533-position model. The record is from RNAcentral.
UACGGAGGGUGCAAGCGUUAUCCGGAUUCACUGGGUUUAAAGGGUGCGUAGGUGGGCAGGUAAGUCAGUGGUGAAAUCUCCGGGCUUAACCCGGAAACUGCCGUUGAUACUAUUUGUCUUGAAUAUUGUGGAGGUAAGCGGAAUAUGUCAUGUAGCGGUGAAAUGCUUAGAUAUGACAUAGAACACCAAUUGCGAAGGCAGCUUACUACACAAUGAUUGACACUGAGGCACGAAAGCGUGGGGAUCAAACAGG